AAAAAGGCAAACCCUGAGUUUUCGUGUCCAACUUUUUGAUUGUCCGUCUUAUAUGAAAUUUUUUUAUAAUUCGUAUUUUUAUUGUUGUUAGAUGAUAAAACAUGAUUAAUAUUUUAUGCGUGACUUGUCUUUUUAAUUUUUUUCAUAAUUUUUUUAAAUAAGACGGACGGUCAAAUAUUGGACACGAAAACCAGGGUUUGUCUUUUU
This is a non-coding RNA of Oryza glumipatula, 207 nucleotides long. The record is from Rfam. NCBI's taxonomy places the organism in Eukaryota, Viridiplantae, Streptophyta, Magnoliopsida, Poales, Poaceae.